RNAcentral lists this transfer RNA (77 nucleotides) under Flavobacteriales bacterium. RNAcentral describes it as "tRNA-Met". It matches the Rfam family "tRNA". From Rfam's summary of the family: Transfer RNA (tRNA) molecules are approximately 80 nucleotides in length. Their secondary structure includes four short double-helical elements and three loops (D, anti-codon, and T loops). Lineage: Bacteria; Pseudomonadati; Bacteroidota; Flavobacteriia; Flavobacteriales. The record is from RNAcentral.
GGCGAGGUAGCUCAGUUGGUUAGAGCACUGGAUUCAUAACCCAGAGGUCAAGAGUUCAAAUCUCUUUCUCGCUACAA